Molecule: unclassified non-coding RNA, 231 nt
Filed under: air metagenome
Description: partial contains small subunit ribosomal RNA, internal transcribed spacer 1, and 5.8S ribosomal RNA
Rfam family: Eukaryotic small subunit ribosomal RNA (bases 1-46)
Source: RNAcentral
AAGUCGUAACAAGGUUUCCGUAGGUGAACCUGCGGAAGGAUCAUUAGUGAAAUAUAGCGUACCUGUUUAACCAGGACGUGACCCUCUCACUUUUCAAACUCUGUGCAUUAUUUUGGCAAGUUGGAAGUUCGCUUCUAACUUGCGGCUCAUUAUUUAUAAACACUUAGUCAUUGUAUGUUAAAGAAAUUUUAUAACAAUAAAAAACUUUCAACAACGGAUCUCUUGGCUCUC